GCAUAUCAAUAAGCGGAGGAAAAGAAACCAACAGGGAUUGCCCUAGUAACGGCGAGUGAAGCGGCAACAGCUCAAAUUUGAAAUCUGGCGCAAGCCCGAGUUGUAAUUUGUAGAGGAUGCUUCUAGGUAGCGACCGGUCUAAGUUCCUUGGAACAGGACGUCAUAGAGGGUGAGAAUCCCGUAUGUGACUGGCCCGCACCUUCUACGUAGCUCCUUCGACGAGUCGAGUUGUUUGGGAAUGCAGCUCUAAAUGGGAGGUAAAUUUCUUCUAAAGCUAAAUACCGGCCAGAGACCGAUAGCGCACAAGUAGAGUGAUCGAAAGAUGAAAAGCACUUUGGAAAGAGAGUUAAAAAGCACGUGAAAUUGUUGAAAGGGAAGCGCUCACAACCAGACUUCUAGGCAGUGUUCCGCCGGUCUUUUGACCGGUCUACUCUCUGUCUCGAGGCCAACAUCAUCUGGGACCGCUGGAUAAGACCUUAGGAAUGUAGCUCCCCUCGGGGAGUGUUAUAGCCUCUGGUGAUGCAGCGAGUCUCGGGUGAGGUCCGCGCUUCGGCAAGGAUGUUGGCGUAAUGGUUGUCAGCGGCCCGUCUUGAAACACGGACCAAGGAGUCUAACAUCUAUGCGAGUGUUCGGGUGUCAAACCCCUACGCGUAAUGAAAGUGAACGGAGGUGGGAAGCGUAAGCUGCACCAUCGACCGAUCCUGAUGUCCUCGGAUGGAUUUGAGUAAGAGCAUAGCUGUUGGGACCCGAAAGAUGGUGAACUAUGCCUGAAUAGGGUGAAGCCAGAGGAAACUCUGGUGGAGGCUCGCAGCGGUUCUGACGUGCAAAUCGAUCGUCAAAUUUGGGUAUAGGGGCGAAAGACUAAUCGAACCAUCUAGUAGCUGGUUCCUGCCGA
This 895-nucleotide ribosomal RNA is filed under the name Caproventuria hanliniana. RNAcentral describes it as "LSU rRNA". It matches the Rfam family "Eukaryotic large subunit ribosomal RNA", at positions 38 to 964 of the family's 3401-position model. The record is from RNAcentral. Lineage: Eukaryota; Fungi; Ascomycota; Dothideomycetes; Venturiales; Venturiaceae.